GGUACGCGAGCUGGGUUCAGAACGUCGUGAGACAGUUCGGUCCCUAUCCGUCGCAGGCGUAGGAAAUUUGAGAAGACCUGUCCUUAGUACGAGAGGACCGGGAUGGACGUACCUCUGGUGUACCAGUGGUUCUGCCAAGGGCAUGGCUGGGUAGCUAUGUACGGAAUGGAUAAGCGCUGAAAGCAUCUAAGCGCGAAGCCAACUUCAAGAUAAGAUUUCCCACCGAAAGGGUAAGACCCCAGAAAGACUAUCUGGUUG
Molecule: ribosomal RNA, 258 nt
Filed under: Clostridioides difficile
Lineage: Bacteria; Bacillati; Bacillota; Clostridia; Peptostreptococcales; Peptostreptococcaceae
Description: partial 23S ribosomal RNA
Rfam family: Bacterial large subunit ribosomal RNA
Source: RNAcentral